CCUGACCGGAAGUAAAUAAUCACACAUAUGCAGCGUCAACCAUAUCGAUUUAACGUCGACAUUUGGCAUUUGUCUUCUGGAUUUUUAGCAACGUACAGUUCCAAAGGAUAUUGUACAUGUUCAUUAGACAAGCAGUUAGCCAAUAGCAGAUACAUUGGGGGAGAAUGACGUGUCAGAUAAAGAAAAGUGAAUUCAGUAAUAUAGAAUAUGUGGUACUGAACAAAUACGAGCAUGACUCAGAAACCCCUCCAGCCCCUAGACACAAAGGUUUGAAGGGUGACAUUGGCAACAUAAUACUCCUUACAAUCCUUUACAUGCUUCAAGGCGUCCCACUCGGUCUUAGUGGGAGCAUUCCAUUGAUCUUGCAGAGCAGAAAAGUCAGUUACGAAGAACAGGCCAAAUUCAGUUUCAUUGACUGGCCAUUCAGUCUAAAAUUGAUAUGGGCACCCAUAGUGGAUUCUUUAUACUUUCCGCGAUUCGGACGAAGGAAAACGUGGAUGGUUCCAACCCAGUAUCUUAUCGGGAUUUUCUUGAUCUAUCUAUCAACAAGAAUUGACAACAUCCUUGGAAAUGACAAUGGGAAAGUGGGCUCAGGAACCAUGGAUCUGAAUACGCUGUUUGUGGUGUUCUUUGUACUAAAUUUUCUUGCAGCUACUCAAGACAUAUCAGUAGAUGGCUGGGCCAUUAGCAUGCUUCAAAGACACAAUGUAGGCUGGGCCAGCACCUGUAAUGCUGUUGGGCAGACUGCCGGCUACUUCCUUGGUAAUGUAGUUCUUCUGGUGCUCGAGUCUGCAGACUUUUGUAACAAGUACAUCCGAAGUCAACCUUCCAAUGUCGGGAUAAUCACAUUUUCAGGUUUUCUUUACUUCUGGGGCCUGGUGUUUUUCGUCACUACGUCCCUAGUGUGGAUAUUCAAAUCAGAGAGGACUGACCCUGAGGUUGACCCUGACCAGAGCAUUGUGACAACCUACAAGCAGCUGUAUAGGGUCAUCAAACUGAAACCUGUUAUCUCAUACUGUGUAAUACUCAUGACAUGUAAGAUCUGCUUCAAAGCUGCUGACACUGUGGCCAGAUUCAAACUCAUUGAUGCUGGCAUUUCCAAGGAAACCAUUGCCCUGUAUGCGGUGCCACUGGUUCCCAUCCAGCUCAUUUUACCCUUUGUCAUAGCAAGAAAGACAUCCGGUCCCCGGCCUCUAGACAUCUUUUUGAAGGGAUUUCUACCCAAGUUAUCGAUGACAGUGUUCAUGGCCUAUCUAGUCCAUCUUGCUUUCAAUGUGAUAGAUGCGAAGGGAAAUGUGCCCAUGUAUUUCUACAUACUCCUGCUAGCAUGGAAUUGUAUCAACGAAGUGUUUUGCACAAGUUUUUUCGUGGCCAAAAUGGCAUUCCACGCCAAAGUGAGUGACCCUGUAAUAGGAGGCACCUACAUGACUCUGUUAAACACCAUCAGCAACCUGGGUGAUAGUUGGCCUGCCACUGUUGCAUUGUGGGCAGUUGGAGGACUCACGUGGAAGUCAUGUGACCAGGCAGGGAUUAGGUCUUGUGACUCAGCAUCUGGAGCUCAGGAAUGUUCAGCUGCUGUUGGACAUUGUGUAAUAGCUGUUGAUGGAUUCUACAUUGAAUGUUUUGUGUGUGUGGUUAUAGGUGUCCUAUGGUAUUUAUGGAAAAAACACAAAGUCCGUUUGUUAGAUGCCUUGGAUGUUAAAGAAUGGAAAAUUUCAUUAAGUUGAAGCGUUUGCUUAAUUUUUUAUAGGGCCUAGACUGGAUUUGUAAAGAGAUUUUCUUUUAACAAAAAAAUCUGUAAAAGUGCGAAAUGCACAGGCUAAUCUGGAAGGACACUUUGUGCACAUGCAUUAAUCCCAGUUUUCAUAUAAUGUAUCUUUUAUUUUCUUAUUAUUGAGUUAUCAAGGCCAUGAUAUUCUUUUUGUUCUAAUGAUAUCUCAUCCACUUCCUAAAAUAGUCAUGAAAACAUCACUAACGCUACUCAUUGCAGUAAAGUUCCACCAAGUCUCAGGUGAAUUAUUACAUUUGGCAAUCUUUUUAAGGAAUAUACAUGAUGUUUAGCUCAGUGUUUUCGGAGAAAACCCGAGGUAUUGUCAUAGCCAGCUCGUCGUCCGACGUCCCCCGUAGGCGUCGUGCUAAAACCUUAACAUUGGCUCUAAAAUCAAAGUGCUUUCACCUACAACUUUGAAACUUCAUAUGUAGAUGCACCUUGAUGAGUUCUACACGCCACACCCAUUUUUGGGUCACUAGGUCAAAGGUCAAGGUCACUGUGACCGCUAAUAUAAAACUUUAACAUAAACCUUAACAUUCGCUCUAAAAUCAAAGUGCGUCCACCUACAACUUUGAAACUUCAUACGUAGAUGCACCUUGAUGAGUUUUUCACGCCACACCCAUUUUUGGGUCACUAGGUCAAAGGUCAAUUUCACUGUGACCUCUAAAAAAAUAAAAAAAAUUGGACAAGCUUUCAUUUAUUCAAAACUGCACCGUAGCCGAGCGUGGCACCCGUUAUGUGGUGCUCUUGUUUUGACACAAUUGAACAAAUGUAUUACUCAUCUUAAUUGUUUGAGUGAUAUUGAAAUACAAAUGUUUAUAUAUACACACAUUUGUAUUAGAUGAUUUUGGUUGCAUGGCCAGUAUCAUUUAUGUUCAGAAUAAUUUGAUGGUGCUAAUAAAAACUUUUGAAAGUAGAAGUGGCAAUUCUUUGUGAUUCUACCUUAAAACAAUAUAUAUUAGAAACAUCCUAAAUAUUAUAUAUUGGAAAUUCAAACAUAUCUGUUCCAUAUUUUCAGUGUUUUGUGUUGCUCUGAUUGUGUUUGUUUCAAGUUUCCCCUUUUCACAAUUGUAUGCAUAUUAGCAAUUUUAUGAAAUUGAACACAUGUAAUUGUUAUUGACCUUGUCUGCAAAUUCAAUAAUUAUCUACCUUUGUCUCGUAGAUGCACCCAUGUAGUAACAUAUUUGUAUAAUCAAUGAUUUUUCAUGAAAAGCUCAUUUACAUCAGUUCUUUUUAUAUAUGCAACUUAUGCAUUCGUCCUAAGUCAUUAGAUACUAAAUAUUGGCUUGAUAUUUUAGAAUGUAAUUAUGAUUGUUGAGAGAUUUAGAACAACAUUUCAAUGUUAUUAAACAAUAGUUUGUAUUGUUAUUAUGUCUGUAAAGUGCCUUUUUAUAAUAAUUACUCAACAAACAUGUUGUUCAUAAAGUGCUAGUUAUUUACUUAUUUUCGUUCACAUGUACAUUUGCAUUUUUGUUUUGAUUGGUUUUAAAUUUGGCGUGCAUGCUUUUCUCUCAAAAUUUGCCUAAAUUAUACAAAAAUACAUACACAUGUGGGAAAGACAAUUACAUUUUUAAUUUUGUUUUUUUUAUCUUGAUUUUACUUGCAUCACACAAAUACAAGUAUUAGGUAAUGGCUACUUUUUCAAGUUUAUUUAUAUGUACAUGUAUA
RNA transcript from Dreissena polymorpha, 3439 nucleotides. It is a transcript of the gene named acetyl-coenzyme A transporter 1-like, with no coding region annotated. The transcript has 10 exons. NCBI's taxonomy places the organism in Eukaryota, Metazoa, Mollusca, Bivalvia, Myida, Dreissenidae. The record is from RefSeq and is a predicted model, not a curated record.